AAGAAGUCAGGCCGGAUUAAGCCAUAGUACGGUAAGAGCUAUGCUGCCUGUGAGCCCCGUCUAAGGACGUUAAAUGAAGUCAGGCCGAAAGCCACGGCUUGAGCAAACCGUGCUGCCUGUAGCUCCAUCGUGGGGAUGUAAAAACCUGGGAGGCUGCAACCCAUGGAAGCUGUACGCAUGGGGUAGCAGACUAGUGGUUAGAGGAGACCCCUCCCGAAACACAACGCAGCAGCGGGGCCCAACACCAG
RNAcentral lists this long non-coding RNA (248 nucleotides) under dengue virus type 1. RNAcentral's name for it is "Dengue virus 1 partial sfRNA1". The stretch from base 149 to 220 matches the Rfam family "Flavivirus DB element". The record is from RNAcentral. Lineage: Riboviria; Orthornavirae; Kitrinoviricota; Flasuviricetes; Amarillovirales; Flaviviridae.